CUUUCUACCGAACGGGGAGCCGUUCGGUAGUUUCUACAUAAAGUGACGGCAGUGUGGAGGUCUCAGCGGUGUUUGCCUAACUGAGUGUCCGAUUUGGGUUCCAGACACUCGAUGGCAAAACACCGCUGUUCGGGAGUUUAAGAUGGCCGCCGCCACGUGUUCGUCUCCCGAAUGGCGGCCACCCAGAGGACAAAGCACACACUGCACUGAUUGCCAAUUACCUGUUUGCAACAUUGUU
Molecule: non-coding RNA, 238 nt
Organism: Pelobates cultripes (western spadefoot toad)
Lineage: Eukaryota; Metazoa; Chordata; Amphibia; Anura; Pelobatidae
Source: the annotation of a GenBank genome assembly